CACAGCUUUUUUCUUUUAAAGGAUUAUUAAGUGUUCUGAAUAUUUUAUCCAUUUUCUGCCUUUGCAAAAUUCAUUAUAGAAAAUGUAAUACUGGAUCAAAGAAGGAAAAUUUCCACUAUGGGAGAAGUGAGCUUGAAAUGAAAGUUUUCAGGCUAGUUGCCUCAGAACUCCAUCCUAAGUGAAAGUCCCGCCCCUUGACAAAGAACUUGGCAUGAGAGAGAUACAGUGAAAGGGAAUAGUGACGUUCAACAACUAGGCCACACACACACCGAGAGGUCCGACUGGAGAUUUUAUUCAAGGGCUGGGAGGAGAGAGAGAGAGAAGAGAGAGAGAGAGCAGAGAGCAGAGGCAGAGAAGAGGAAGAAGAAGAAGAGAAGAGAAGAGAAAAAAGAAGCCUUCUUUUUUCAUCAUAAAUUCUCUGGAGGAAAUGUGAAUUUCAAAGAUUAAACUGUUUGCAACUAUGGUGGCUUGAAAUUAUGAUGUCUACUUGCUUUUUUGAGUUGCUACAGUAUGUUGA
RNAcentral lists this long non-coding RNA (517 nucleotides) under Fukomys damarensis (Damara mole-rat). RNAcentral describes it as "lncRNA (ENSFDAG00000032429.1)". Lineage: Eukaryota; Metazoa; Chordata; Mammalia; Rodentia; Bathyergidae. The record is from RNAcentral.